Molecule: ribosomal RNA, 327 nt
Filed under: uncultured eukaryote
Lineage: Eukaryota
Description: partial 18S ribosomal RNA
Rfam family: Eukaryotic small subunit ribosomal RNA
Source: RNAcentral
CCCUUAGAUGUUCUGGGCUGCACGCGCGCUACACUGAUGCGCUCAACGAGUUUUAACCUUGCCUGGAAAGGUUGGGUAAUCUUUUUAAAACGCAUCGUGAUGGGGAUAGAUUAUUGCAAUUAUUAAUCUUCAACGAGGAAUUCCUAGUAAGCGCGAGUCAUCAGCUCGUGCUGAUUACGUCCCUGCCCUUUGUACACACCGCCCGUCGCUACUACUGAUUGGAUGUUUAAGCGAGGUUCUCGAACUGCUAGCGACUUAGCUUCGGUGAGGUCGCAGUGUGGGAAGUGAACCUAGCUUUGGUGUCUAGAGGAAGUAAAAGUCGUAACA